RNAcentral lists this long non-coding RNA (1293 nucleotides) under Dromaius novaehollandiae (emu). Its description in RNAcentral is "lncRNA (ENSDNVG00000002548.1)". The record is from RNAcentral. Lineage: Eukaryota; Metazoa; Chordata; Aves; Casuariiformes; Dromaiidae.
UAAACUGAUACUUUAAAACAGGACCCAUAACUCUGAUAAUAUGUCGAAAGACGUUUCAGACACAUACACAUCAUUCGUUAAUUUUUUUUUUUAUUAUUGAAUUUGCUGGGAAAGCUCCCAUAUGGGUAUACAAAGCUCAAGUUUUAACUGUGCAAAAAGUGUGCAUCCAUAUGAUGGGCACCCAGCUUAAAGCAUAUUCGGCUGUAGUUAUGUUUUAGAAUGAUAGCUCCGUAAAAUCAAGCUAAACAGUGUGAAGGAAUUUCUGUAAUGUUUUUAAAAUACACCCUUCAACAUUCCUGUUAGUUUUUCCACUAAAUAGUGUAAAUAGGUUAAGAGUUACUCAGUUUCUGGUAGGAUUUUGUGUUUGUUACAUCGACUAACAGAACCAUAUAUGAUGCUUGAUUUCGCUGUUGUAGUUAGGCAAGGUAGGAGUCUUAGAGCAGCUUCCAGAGGGACCAGCGGACCCGUUGUCAUUUCGAUUUCUCAUGGCAGUUCUGAUCUACAGGCACAAUAAAACUGAUGUUAUCAAGCACGAAGCUUUAAACAAAAAGAUUUUUCAGCAAUUGGUCAGCGUAUUUGGAACUCAGUGUCUGGAACAAUAGCUAGCUAUCAGUAUUAACCCCUUCACAGCAAGGCAUAAAGUCUGAUUUAAUUUAGUCAUCUCAUAACACCACUUUUCCAGACACCCUAAACUAAUAAAACUUCUCUCUGUGACCUAAGCCCCUGUCUCAUGUUAUACCACAGUCUAUAAUUAUAUGGCCAGAAACUGUUUUUAAAAUUCUAUUUGAAAAAACUCAUGUUUCCAUGCUAAUAUUAAUACACUUACAAAGUUAAGCAUCCAAAGAAUAGAAAUAUCAGUGUUAAUAAAUAACUUUGCAUCUUUAAUGCAUUCCCACCCUGCACAUGGAUUAAAUGGUAGCCCUUGCAGGAGUAGUGAGUUGUCAUUCUCUGUGCACCAACAGAAAUGAGAUGAAUGCUCUGCCAUGGUUCCAGAGACAUUUCCUGACCAGUCCCAUCCCAGGCCCUGGGGGCUGAUGGUUCAACCUCUUGGAGUAAGUGAAUUGAAAGACAUCAACUAUAUCGAAAAAUAUUCUGCAAUGGAGAAAAAGGUUCAUGAAAUGUAAACCCCAAGUUUCUGUUUAAGAAAGUUUUCCUAAAGUUUCUUAAUUAUUGCUGUAUCAUAUCUCCACAUUGACCAGCCUUGCUGUAUCUUUGUGUGGAGGAGAAAAUGAGUCCGGCACCUAGAAACUUUGUAUUUCUUGUGUUUCUUUAACAUAGAAAGACUAUUUAUGC